GCAAGUCGAGCGGUAACAGGAAGUAGCUUGCUACUUCGCUGACGAGCGGCGGACGGGUGAGUAAUGCUUAGGAAUUUGCCCAGUUGAGGGGGAUAACUAUUGGAAACGAUAGCUAAUACCGCAUACGCUCCUUUCUGUGAAAAGAGAGGAGGAAAGAGGGGGACCUUCGGGCCUCUCGCGAUUGGAUAAGCCUAAGUGAGAUUAGCUAGUUGGUGAGGUAAUGGCUCACCAAGGCGACGAUCUCUAGCUGGUCUGAGAGGAUGAUC
RNAcentral lists this ribosomal RNA (266 nucleotides) under uncultured bacterium. RNAcentral describes it as "partial 16S ribosomal RNA". It matches the Rfam family "Bacterial small subunit ribosomal RNA", at positions 57 to 305 of the family's 1533-position model. The record is from RNAcentral.